GAACUUAGCAGAGAUUGCUUUGGUGCCUUCGGGAACUCUGAGACAGGUGCUGCAUGGCUGUCGUCAGCUCGUGUUGUGAAAUGUUGGGUUAAGUCCCGNAACGAGCGCAACCCUUUAUCCUUUGUUGCCAGCGGUUCGGCCGGGAACUCAAAGGAGACUGCCGGUGAUAAACCGGAGGAAGGUGGGGAUGACGUCAAGUCAUCAUGGCCCUUACGGCCAGGGCUACACACGUGCUACAAUGGCGCAUACAAAGAGAAGCGACCUCGCGAGAGCAAGCGGACCUCAUAAAGUGCGUCGUAGUCCGGAUUGGAGUCUGCAACUCGACUCCAUGAAGUCGAAAUCGCUAGUAAUCGUAGAUCAGAAUGCUACGGUGAAUACGUUCCCGGGCCUUGUACACACCGCCCGUCACACCAUGGGAGUGGGUUGCAAAAGAAGUAGGUAGCUUAACCUUCGGGAGGGCGCUUACCACUUUGUGAUUCAUGACUGGGGUGAAGUCGUAACAAGGUAGGCGUAGCGAG
Molecule: ribosomal RNA, 518 nt
Filed under: uncultured bacterium
Lineage: Bacteria
Description: bacterial SSU rRNA
Rfam family: Bacterial small subunit ribosomal RNA
Source: RNAcentral